UUUACAAUACAUUACAGUUAUGUCCCUUACUGCAGAUUUGAAGAUAUCCCAGAUAUCUCUAGAAUCUCUGGUAUUUUAGAGUGGCAAACACCAUGGAGGUGGAAGUAGCUUGUACAAAAAAUACAUGAACUAUAUAAAAGGAACUAAUUUUAAUUUUUUGGGUACCUAAGGCAAUAGUUGUGUUUUUAAUAUGCCAAUCUUUGAAAUUGUUACUAAUUGUGUCCAGGUGAACUAAGUGAGAUGAUGUACAUGUAUAUGGCCGAUCUUGUUCAGUUUUAAAGUUAUUCCUGGUACAUGUAUGUGAGGAAUUGAGACAUUUAUUAACAUGGAUUUUAUAUUUCAAGAAAGUGAUUUCAUCAACUAAGUGAUGUGGAACGCAGCUGCAGUUAAUCAAUUUACCAAUCAUACUGGAACCAUUCAGAUUGGGAUUUACACGUGUUUUGAAUUGAUUCUUGGUUAAUAAAAAGAUGAUAAUAACUUUCAAUGGAUCAACUAUUUGAUCAUGUUCAUUUGUUUUUAUGAUAAUCAUAAUAAAAUAUUUCAUAUCAACAUUUAA
Long non-coding RNA from Mytilus californianus (California mussel), 556 nucleotides. RefSeq lists it as uncharacterized. NCBI's taxonomy places the organism in Eukaryota, Metazoa, Mollusca, Bivalvia, Mytilida, Mytilidae. The transcript is spliced from 2 exons. The record is from RefSeq and is a predicted model, not a curated record.